UGGAAUUUCAUGAGUUCUAAUCAUUAAUAUUUCACAAAAAGAACUAGGAAACAUAUGGAGUACUAGUCAUUCUUUUCCUAUCAUUUUGGAAGAGAAUACAUCUCCUCUGGGGUGAGAAUGAUCGAAUUUUCAAUUUGGAAUAUGAAAUAGUAAGUUUUCAAGCUUGACAUGCCCUUACAUUAUAAACUCAAACAAACAUAUGAUCAGCUUCAAUAGUAACUUUCUUAAAAUACAAGUUAGAGUAAUAAGUAGUUCAACAAUGCACCAUUAUGAUAUAUGGACCCUGUAUUUAAGUUACACUACCCCACUUUAUGGGAAUACACAUGGUAUGUUGUUAUAUUGUUGUUAUAUUUAAAUUAAACUACUACAUCAAUAAUUUAGCAGAAGUGCUACAGAGAGGUGGAAUAAACCUGAUGAUUUAUUUGCACUUGAUGACAGUCAACUGGGUGAAAAGACUGCAUUUCAUGGCAUAGAUAGGGCUGGCCAUCUGGUUCACCUAGAACGGCCUUGCGUUUACAAGUGUCUCAAGCAGUUCCUUACUUCCCUGCAUGCAAAAAGAGUUCAAAAGUGAAGGACGUACCAUAAAGUUCACUAUCUAAUAUCAUUUGUCUAUGGAAAAGAAAACAACUUCGUCUUUUCUCUGUAACAUUAGUUACUAUGUAAUUUGGGGUUCAAAAUUUGAAAUUUCUGUCUUAAUGCAAAUGUAUACAGAUAUUUGUUGCAUAUUUUAAUUUGGAUUAUUAUUAAUGGAAUAUUUUGUUGUGGUGUAUAGAUGUCUGUGUGAAUAAAUAUUAAUUUACAAUAUAGGGGUGACUACUUCAUUUAAACCGUCAAUUAGUAUUUGAAGUUGCAAUAGGUGGCAAAAAUUAUUGCAAUAGCUAAUUAUAAUAGUUGCAAUAGGUAGCAAAAAAUAUUGCAAAAGACACGAAAACCAUUGCAAUAGGUGUCAGAAAGAGUUGCAAUCGGUAGUUUAAAACCGUUGCAAAAGACUAAUAAGUGUUGCAGUAGAUAUCCGAAAAUUAUUGCAAUAGGGUUAUUGUAAUGCUUUCUUGUCGUUGCAAUAUAUUCUAUUGCAACAGUUCUUAACUGUUACUGUAGACAAUAUGAAGCAUCCCAAUAGGAUUUAAAAAUAACCGUUACAAAAGUCGUUGCAAUACAUCAAUCGCAACGCUCACUCUAUGCAACACAUGCCAAACCGUUGCGGUAGAUCUAUCGCAACGGUUUUUGUAUCUAUUGCAAUGGUUUUUGAACCAUUGCGAUAGGGAUAAUUUCUAGUAGUGUAAUUCAUGUUAAAAUUAUUAGAAAUUAGGUCUUACAUUCGUAAAUUUUGAGGGUUGAUUUGAGACUCGAUUCUUCAAUAUAGUUGAGACUAAUGAACCUUUAAUAUAAAUUUUUCUACGUGACUUGGUAGAUGUUAAUGGAUUACCCUAGAUGAUGAUAUGGUGUUAUUUUGGAUAUAUUCUUUGGCCCAAGGACGUGAUUAUGAUAGUGCUUGGAUUUUAGGAAGUGUUUUAUCCUUAUAAAAGACAUGACGAUAUCUAUUAGACGUAUUGAUGCUUAUAAUCAUAUUGAGUGGAUACUAAAGAUGGCAUGCACAGAUUUGAUACUGUAAUGAUCACUUAGAUAGUAAAUGAUAUGAUUCCAACUAAAAUAUGUUUUUAUUAGCAUUUUUCGUCUAAAGGAUUUAUUCCCACUUUUCAGUUUCCAAAUGAAUUCCUUUAUAAUAGGAAUCAUACCAUCUCAUUAAGUUAUGAGCAUUUGAGACUAGAAAUGUUGUUUUAGAUAUUUGACAGAGUUAGAUUUCGGUCCACGAUUUUACUAUUAUAAUUUACCUCGAUCGUGAGAGUUUUCAACAUUUUCCAUAUAUUUAUGAUAAUUUAGUCCAUGAGUUUAUAUCUAUAUAUUUGGUACUAGAUAAAGUGGAUUGAUGAUGAUGAUGAUGGUUAUUGGAAAUCUUGGAUCAGGACCGAUUCAGUGUAUACGGGUACUUCUGAACCCCCUAGGGGCUUCUUCGUCGGUGAGUCAUUAGGCCGGAGGAAAGAGAGGUCAUAGGUCAUGCCUUGCUCACAAAAAUAAUCACGUAAAAGCCACAGCUUGCUGGAACAUCAAAGGAGGUACAAACUGAUAUGGAUUCUUGAUUUUCCUGCUUAUGGGGUUGUAUGUUCAAAUUAGAUUAGAAGUACAACUUUAGAUUGUAAACUGUUUGUUUUAAAUUGCCUAUUUCUGAUUAUGUUCUUCUAGGUUUUCUUAGCCAUUCUAGAAAGUUACUGCAGAUGGUUCUUUUAAAAGAAAUGGUGUUGUUGGUAUGUAUUCUAAGUAUUCAGACUCGCUUUUACUCAUUAUGGGAUGGCUAUGAUGUAUUCAAUUGCUCUCGACUCAGGUGUUCUGGAAGCAAAUUUCAUAGAACCUGUGCAUGACGAGCAAGAUUUUUAAUGAUCAUCUCUGUUUUUCAAGUCAACAUUGACAAAAGAGAACAGUUCACUUCAGGUAUUAUGUUUGAUUUUUUUUUUGCCAGUCAUUCACCUGUGUAUGGAAUUCAAACAUACCAAAGGCUUUUUUUGUGAAAAAUUGUGUUGAUAAAAGAAGAUGCAGAUAAUUAAUUUCCAUAGAAAUUACAAUGUGUGGUGGAUAACUCCAGCCAAGAAGGCUAUUCUUUGUGGUGAGUUCAUAAUGUCUCUGCAUAUUUUUUAAUCGCGGUACUAGUGUGUUAGACAGUCUGAAGAUUGGCUAAUCUAGCUCCUAUUUGCUUAAUUAGACAUAAAGAUAGUGGUUUCUACCAUAUUUGUUAGAAUACGAAAAUUACUAGAUGUUAUUGAUGGUUCAACUACAUGGCUCUUUCUAGUCUAUGUAAGCCUUUAAGAUGAAGCUUUCGCUUAUAGCUCAUGAGUCAUGAUUACUUAUAAAUAAAAGUCUUAUAGCUCCUGAUUAUUAUAGUGAUGAACAGAAAUAGCAGUCAUUUCAGUAAAGAGUAUGAAUAUGUCAUUUCGCUAUUUUGGAAACUUGUAACACUACUAGAUUAUACCUCUUGAUUACUUUAUUGAUGGACAAUUUUAGAAACUAUUUUCGUGAAAGGUAAGAAUAAGUCGUUUUACUAUUUUGGCAACUCAGAACACUAGCUUAUGCAUGGUUCAGAACCAAUAAGCUGAAAAGGUACGUCUUGAAAUUCUUGUUAGUUGCUCUUUGCCAGAUGCUCCAGUAUAACACACAUAGGUUUAGCUGUGAAAUGCCCCUUUGCUUCUUUAGUCUGCUUACAAUAUAGAGCUUCCCGUGGCAAGCUACCGAAUGGAUGACGGAAUAUCUGAACUUUGAAUACUGACCAGGUUUAAGGGCAGAGAGGUUCUGCUUGUACUUUGUUAUUUGCAUUUGUAAAUAGUACAACAUAAAUCAAUGAAGCUUUAAUAGGUUAAUAUAUUUUCUUAUGUAUUAUAUAAGCAUAUUUAUAUUUGUUUUUUAUUGAAAGGGGAGUAGGUGUAGUUCAGUGGUAAUCAGGCCUUGAAUUCUAACUGACUCUUAAACGAUGGCUUGUUAUGCAGAAACAUAUACUGCAAAAAUGAACUAAAGAAUCUCAAAUUUGUGAAAUUAAGUGAUUUAAAGUUUGUGAAUAUACAAAUAUAAUUGAAUGAGGCACCAAGGUGUCAUGGUGAAGUUGGUUAUAAUGUCACUAUAACAAACUGAAGGUCUCGUGUUUGAGUCCAGGAGAUGACAUGCUGUUUAUACUAAGCCAGCUUAGACUGAAGCUACAAUUUUAAGAUUUUUUUUUAAGAAGUCAGGAUCCAAUUCGUUACUUCAGUAAUAUAUUUUCUGCUUCCUCGUUUCCUUGGCUUAAUGUUAACAUUAUUUGCUUAUAUCUAGACUGCGAUAAUGACUUUUGCUAAAAGAAUACUGUGUCAAAAGAAAUGACUUUCUUUAACAUAUACAAUAAACAGAAUAGCAUUCUCUGUCAAGCAACUACACUUCUUGAAACAAAGAUAACUACACUUCUUGCAUAGAAGUAUUCAGCGACUUUUAACCUAUAGAUUAUUGUCAAAUUCUUGAAUACUUGACAGUUGACUUGCGUCAAGAAAUUAAAGACAAACAACAUAGAUUUCAUCCUCUGAUUCAUAUCUAAAAUGUAAAGUUUUAACCUGAGCAAAGGAUCUUAUUCCCUCACUUGACAAUAUGUCAGGUCAUAUUUACCAACAGAAAGGAAAGAGCGGAGCUGCUAGAAGGCUUGGUGGUGAGCAACAAAGAAGAAACUAUUCUAAAUUUUCCACAGGUAAUUGGAAUUUCAUGAGUUCUAAUCAUUAAUAUUUCACAAAAAGAACUAGGAAACAUAUGGAGUACUAGUCAUUCUUUUCCUAUCAUUUUGGAAGAGAAUACAUCUCCUCUGGGGUGAGAAUGAUCGAAUUUUCAAUUUGGAAUAUGAAAUAGUAAGUUUUCAAGCUUGACAUGCCCUUACAUUAUAAACUCAAACAAACAUAUGAUCAGCUUCAAUAGUAACUUUCUUAAAAUACAAGUUAGAGUAAUAAGUAGUUCAACAAUGCACCAUUAUGAUAUAUGGACCCUGUAUUUAAGUUACACUACCCCACUUUAUGGGAAUACACAUGGUAUGUUGUUAUAUUGUUGUUAUAUUUAAAUUAAACUACUACAUCAAUAAUUUAGCAGAAGUGCUACAGAGAGGUGGAAUAAACCUGAUGAUUUAUUUGCACUUGAUGACAGUCAACUGGGUGAAAAGACUGCAUUUCAUGGCAUAGAUAGGGCUGGCCAUCUGGUUCACCUAGAACGGCCUUGCGUUUACAAGUGUCUCAAGCAGUUCCUUACUUCCCUGCAUGCAAAAAGAGUUCAAAAGUGAAGGACGUACCAUAAAGUUCACUAUCUAAUAUCAUUUGUCUAUGGAAAAGAAAACAACUUCGUCUUUUCUCUGUAACAUUAGUUACUAUGUAAUUUGGGGUUCAAAAUUUGAAAUUUCUGUCUUAAUGCAAAUGUAUACAGAUAUUUGUUGCAUAUUUUAAUUUGGAUUAUUAUUAAUGGAAUAUUUUGUUGUGGUGUAUAGAUGUCUGUGUGAAUAAAUAUUAAUUUACAAUAUAGGGG
Molecule: long non-coding RNA, 5070 nt
Filed under: Capsicum annuum
Lineage: Eukaryota; Viridiplantae; Streptophyta; Magnoliopsida; Solanales; Solanaceae
Description: long non-coding RNA (CANN_LNC011095)
Source: RNAcentral